RNAcentral lists this ribosomal RNA (878 nucleotides) under Ramaria botrytis var. compactospora. RNAcentral's name for it is "partial large subunit ribosomal RNA". It matches the Rfam family "Eukaryotic large subunit ribosomal RNA", at positions 87 to 946 of the family's 3401-position model. Lineage: Eukaryota; Fungi; Basidiomycota; Agaricomycetes; Gomphales; Gomphaceae. The record is from RNAcentral.
CGGCGAGUGAAGCGGGAUGAGCUCAAAUUUGUAAUCUGGCGGCCUCUGGUCGUCCGAGUUGUAGUCUGGAGAAGCGUUUUCCGCGUCGGACCGUGUACAAGUCCCUUGGAACAGGGCGUCGUAGAGGGUGAGAAUCCCGUCUUUGACACGGACUGCCGAUGCUAUGUGAUGCGCUCUCGAAGAGUCGAGUUGUUUGGGAAUGCAGCUCAAAACGGGUGGUAAAUUCCAUCUAAAGCUAAAUAUUGGCGAAAGACCGAUAGCGAACAAGUACCGUGAGGGAAAGAUGAAAAGCACUUUGGAAAGAGAGUUAAACAGUACGUGAAAUUGUUGAAAGGGAAACGCUUGAAGUCAGUCGCGUCUCUUGGGACUCAGCCUUGCUUUUGCUUGGUGUACUUCCUGAGGUGACGGGCCAGCAUCGAUUUUGAUCGUCGGAGAAAGGCUUUGGGAAUGUGGCACCCUCGGGUGUGUUAUAGCCCUAGGUCGUAUGCGGCGGUUGGGAUCGAGGACCGCAGCACGCCUUCAUUGGCCGGGGUUCGCCCACGUAACGUGCUUAGGAUGCUGGCGUAAUGGCUUUAAGCGACCCGUCUUGAAACACGGACCAAGGAGUCUAACAUGCCCGCGAGUGUUUGGGUGGAAAACCCGGACGCGUAAUGAAAGUGAAAGGUUGGGACCUCUGUCGCGGAGGGCACCGACGCCCGGACCAGAGCUUCUGUGACGGUUCCGAGGUAGAGCGUGUAUGCUGGGACCCGAAAGAUGGUGAACUAUGCCUGAGUAGGGUGAAGCCAGAGGAAACUCUGGUGGAGGCUCGUAGCGAUUCUGACGUGCAAAUCGAUCGUCGAACUUGGGUAUAGGGGGCGAAAGACUAAUCGAACCAUCUA